RNAcentral lists this transfer RNA (284 nucleotides) under Synechocystis sp. AICB51. RNAcentral's name for it is "partial 16S-23S ribosomal RNA intergenic spacer". The stretch from base 99 to 171 matches the Rfam family "tRNA". Lineage: Bacteria; Bacillati; Cyanobacteriota; Cyanophyceae; Synechococcales; Merismopediaceae. The record is from RNAcentral.
AACUAGAGAUUGGGUUCAUGGGCUAUUAGCUCAGGUGGUUAGAGCGCACCCCUGAUAAGGGUGAGGUCCCUGGUUCAAGUCCAGGAUGGCCCAUAAGUGGGGGUAUAGCUCAGUUGGUAGAGCGCCUGCUUUGCAAGCAGGAUGUCAGCGGUUCGAGUCCGCUUAUCUCCAGUGAGAAGCACUUGGCACUGUUUAAACGAACAACUGCUGAGAAAAGUCUCAGUAAGAACCUUGAAAACUGCAUAGAAAAAAAGUAAGUAGGAAGUCUGUAUGAAUAAUCAGAC